CUCUGGUUCUCCCAUCUGUAAGACAGAUACGAAUACCAGGAUUUACUCCUACCUAACCCAAAUAACCCUAUUCAAUUUUUUUUCAUCUCAUUUGACAUCAAUAUAAUGUGGUUAUGAUGACACUUGUGAUGUACUUUGCUUAUCCAAUAUGUAUGGCCACUUUUGCAGCAUAAGGAAACAACUACAACCACUUAAGACAUCAACAAUGUGUAGUGUAACUUUAGUUUAUUUGCUUGUACAUUUCCCCUUGUUUCUCAUAAUUCACUACAGUAGCACAUUAGGUUGCUGACCAUGGACAUUUUACCUGACAAAAGAAAAUCUUAUUAAGAUUUAUACUACUCGCUAUGAAGUAUCGGCGAUGUAUGGAGAAUUAUAAGCUGGAAAUAAGGGAGAAGGAGGUUGAGUUUGUUGUUUGAGCAUUAUUUUCAUUGUGGUGCUAGCAUUCUGCCAAAUGAACUUCCAUGUUUCCCCAACUUUUGUGAGCUUUUCUCUUUCUGUCUGUUUUCUCUAGAAUGGUCAGCAAAGGUAAAUAGACAAAUCGAUAGCUGAAAUCAAACUUGUCUCAACAGGUCGUAUAGAAAAAGACUACAUGAUUUUGGUCCUUUUGAAACAUUGUUGCUGCAAAGUUUGUUCAUUUUGUUUUGAUU
Long non-coding RNA from Solanum lycopersicum (tomato), 647 nucleotides. RefSeq lists it as uncharacterized. Lineage: Eukaryota; Viridiplantae; Streptophyta; Magnoliopsida; Solanales; Solanaceae. The record is from RefSeq and is a predicted model, not a curated record.